This 446-nucleotide ribosomal RNA is filed under the name uncultured bacterium. RNAcentral describes it as "partial 16S ribosomal RNA". It matches the Rfam family "Bacterial small subunit ribosomal RNA", at positions 329 to 792 of the family's 1533-position model. The record is from RNAcentral.
GGCCAGACUCCUACGGGAGGCAGCAGUGGGGGAUAUUGCACAAUGGGGGGAACCCUGGUGCAGCGACGCCGCGUGGGUGAAGGAGCGUUUCGGCGCGUAAAGCCCUAUCGGCAGGGGAGAAGGAGGACGGUACCUGACUAAGAAGCCCCGGCUAACUACGUGCCAGCAGCCGCGGUAAUACGGAGGAUGCGAGCGUUAUCCGGAUUUAUUGGGUUUAAAGGGUGCGCAGGCGGCCCGGCAAGCCGGCGGUCAAAGCGCGGGGCUCAACCCAGCGCAGCCGGAGGAACUGCCGGGCUAGAGUGGGCGAGAAGUGCGCGGAAUGCGUGGGGUAGCGGUGAAAUGCAUAGAUAUCACGCAGAACGCCGAUUGCGAAGGCAGCGCACCGGCGCCCUACUGACGAUCAGGCACGAAAGCGGGGGUAUCGAACAGGAGUAGAUACCCCAGUA